GAUGAACGCUGGCGGCGUGCCUAAUACAUGCAAGUCGAGCGAACGGACGCGACGCUUGCUUCUCUGAUGUUAGCGGCGGACGGGUGAGUCACACGUGGAUACUCUACUUAUAAGUCUGGGAAAACUUCGGGACACCGGAGCUUAUACCGGAUAAUCUUCUGCACCGCAUGGUUCAAAAGUGAAAGACGGUCUUGCUGUCACUUCUAGAUGGUUCCGCGCUGCAUUAGCUAGUUGGUAAGGUAACAGCUUACCAAGGCAACGAUGCAUAGCCGACGUGAGAGGGUGUUCGGCCACACUGGAACUGAGACACGGUACAGACACCGACGUGAGGCAGCAGUAGGGAAGCUACCGCAAUAUGCGAAAUCCUGACGGAGGGACGGCACGUGGGUGAAGAAGGGCUUCGUAUCGUAAAACUCUGUUAGUGGUGAAGAACAUAUGUGUAAGUAACUGUGCACAUCUUGACGGUACCUAAUCAGAAGGCCACGGCUAACUACGU
This 496-nucleotide ribosomal RNA is filed under the name uncultured bacterium. RNAcentral describes it as "partial 16S ribosomal RNA". It matches the Rfam family "Bacterial small subunit ribosomal RNA", at positions 28 to 506 of the family's 1533-position model. The record is from RNAcentral.